ACAUGUGUGGGGGAUACUUUGUACUGCUCCUUACAGCAGGCAAAUCACUCUCGGUUCCUAAUUUCAGGAAUGUUCAGGAACAUUCUCAGGUGCAAAAGGACGGAGCUCUGAAGAGUUGGAUUGGCCUAACUGAUUGGCCCAAGACAUUACAGAGGCAGAAGCAGGCAGUGGAAUCACCAGCCCACGGUUACCUUGCUAUAGGGAGGACUUUCAAAGGGUUGGAACCCAAGCUCCGUGGUUUGGCUCCUUUGAAAGCCAGCCUUUCCCGGUUCUCCUGACCACGGGAGCAGGCCCACUAGUUCAACGGGGCCUCGUCUGCCAAGUCCGUGGCAUGCCCAGGGCUGCUGGGUGAGUUCAUGCUCCAUCCCGGAAGGGUCGGGGCCUCUGGGACGCAAUCAGAACUCCAGGAAACUCGGCGCAGGAAAGGCUACUUGGGGUUUGGCUCCUGGCCUGGCCAACCCCAGCCAGCCGGCCAUGCCCAGCCAACGGACUCCGUGGGCAGACUUUUCAGAGUUGUGCGGACAGCCCAGUAGCAGCGAUAUUGAAAACAUUGCCUUGGGGCGCCUGGGUGGCUCAGUCAAAUGUCUCUCUGUCAAAUAAAUAACAUAUUUAAAAAAC
This 618-nucleotide long non-coding RNA is filed under the name Mustela putorius furo (domestic ferret). RNAcentral's name for it is "lncRNA (ENSMPUG00000023909.1)". The record is from RNAcentral. Lineage: Eukaryota; Metazoa; Chordata; Mammalia; Carnivora; Mustelidae.